This is a regulatory RNA element of Clostridium disporicum, 86 nucleotides long. It matches the Rfam family "c-di-GMP-I riboswitch aptamer". Rfam says of the family: GEMM was predicted in a large-scale screen for bacterial structured RNA regulatory elements. Genes associated with GEMM are involved in a diverse array of functions, including chemotaxis regulation, signal transduction, secretion and chitin. Lineage: Bacteria; Bacillati; Bacillota; Clostridia; Eubacteriales; Clostridiaceae. The record is from Rfam.
AAAUUAAAUAGGCAAAUCUAGGGAAAUCUAGAGACGCAAAGCUAUAGGGACUAAGGUUAUUUUAACUAUGUCAGCCAGUUGCCAAA